This 453-nucleotide ribosomal RNA is filed under the name uncultured bacterium. RNAcentral's name for it is "bacterial SSU rRNA". It matches the Rfam family "Bacterial small subunit ribosomal RNA", at positions 340 to 786 of the family's 1533-position model. The record is from RNAcentral.
UACGGAAGCAGCAGUGGGGAAUAUUGCACAAUGGGCGCAAGCCUGAUGCAGCCAUGCCGCGUGUAUGAAGAAGGCCUUCGGGUUGUAAAGUACUUUCAGUCGUGAGGAAGGUGUUAAGGUUAAUAACCUUAGCAAUUGACGUUAGCGACAGAAGAAGCACCGGCUAACUCCGUGCCAGCAGCCGCGGUAAUACGGAGGGUGCGAGCGUUAAUCGGAAUUACUGGGCGUAAAGGGCACGCAGGCGGUUAAUUAAGUUGGAUGUGAAAUCCCCGGGCUUAACCUGGGAAUGGCAUUCAAGACUGGUUAGCUAGAGUCUUGUAGAGGGGGUAGAAUUCCAUGUGUAGCGGUGAAAUGCGUAGAGAUGUGGAGGAAUACCGGUGGCGAAGGCGGCCCCUGGACAAAGACUGACGCUCAUGUGCGAAAGCGUGGGGAGCAAACGAGGGAUUAGAUACC